UCCAGACUCCUACGGGAGGCAGCAGUGGGGAAUAUUGGGCAAUGGAGGAAACUCUUACCCAGCAAUGCCGCGUGAAUGAAGAAGGUCUUCGGAUUGUAAAGUUCUUUAAUUGGGGACGAAAAAAAUGACGGUACCCAAGGAAUAAGCCCCGGCUAACUACGUGCCAGCAGCCGCGGUAAUACGUAGGUGGCAAGCGUUAUCCGGAUUUACUGGGUGUAAAGGGCGUGUAGGCGGGACUGCAAGUCAGAUGUGAAAACCAUGGGCUCAACCUAUGGCCUGCAUUUGAAACUGUAGUUCUUGAGUACUGGAGAGGCAGACGGAAUUCCUAGUGUAGCGGUGAAAUGCGUAGAUAUACGGAGGAACACCAGUGGCGAAGGCGGCCUGCUGGACAUUAACUGACGCUGAGGCGCGAAAGCGUGGGGAGCAAACAGGAUUAGAUACCCGAGUAA
RNAcentral lists this ribosomal RNA (449 nucleotides) under uncultured bacterium. RNAcentral's name for it is "partial 16S ribosomal RNA". It matches the Rfam family "Bacterial small subunit ribosomal RNA", at positions 330 to 793 of the family's 1533-position model. The record is from RNAcentral.